Molecule: ribosomal RNA, 155 nt
Filed under: bacterium 070416
Lineage: Bacteria
Description: partial 16S rRNA
Rfam family: Bacterial small subunit ribosomal RNA
Source: RNAcentral
UAAGGAAUAUUGGUCAAUGGAGGCAACUCUGAACCAGCCAUGCCGCGUGCAGGAAGACUGCCCUAUGGGUUGUAAACUGCUUUUAUCCGGGAAUAAACCUAAAUACGUGUAUUUAGCUGAAUGUACCGGAAGAAUAAGGAUCGGCUAACUCCGUG